CCUGCUGAUUUUGAAAAUUUGCCCACUGACAAAUAAAUGAGCAGUCUAUAAUUUAAUGGUAGGUGUAUUUUAACAGUGAGAGACAGAAUAACAAAAAAACAAAAUCCAGAAAAAUGCAUGUCAAAAAAGUUAUAAAUUAAUUUGCAUGUCAAUGAGUGAAAUAAGUAUUUGACCCCUUCAACUUAGUACUUGGUGGCAAAACCCUUGUUGGCAAUCACAGAGGUCAGACGUUUCUUGUAGCUGGCCACCAGGUUUUCAUACAUCUCAGGAGGAAUUUGUCCCACUCCUCUUUGCAGAUCCUUUCCAAGUCAUUAAGGUUUCAAGGCUGACGUUUAGCAACUUGAACCUUCAGCUCCCUCCACAGAUUUUCUAUGAGAUUAAGGUCUGGAGACUGGCUAGACCACUCCAGGACCUUAGUGUGCUUCUUCUUGAGCCACUCCUUUGUUGCCUUGGCUGUGUGUUUUGGUCAUUGUCAUGCUGGAAUACCCAUCCUCGACCCAUUUUCAAUGCCCUGGCCUAGGGAAGGAGGUUCGCACCCAAGAUUUAAAAAAAAUUUUUUUUUGUUAAUCUGUUUCGCACCCAAGAUUUGACGGUACAUGGCCCCGUCCAUCAUCCCUUUGAUGCGGUGCAGUCAGGGCCGGCCUUAGGGGUGUGCGAGCUGUGCGGCCGCACAGGGUGCCAUAGACCAGGGGGCGCCCUGACAGCUGACACAGAUCGCACAUGGCCGGCUGACAAGGUGUGACUCCAAUUGUGUGUGUCGCUGUACCUGUGCCGUUGUGUGUGCCUGUGCCUGUAUGUGUGACUAUCUGCCUUUAACUGAGUGUGUGUGUGCCUAUCAUAGUGCGUGAGUGUCUGCAUGCCUGUAACAGAGUGUGGCCCUGUCGUGGUUUCCCUUGUGGUUGUCCGAGAGCGCGUUAUUGAUUCUGAAAUCCUAGGUGGGGAUUACACCACCUACGCUGACAACAAAGAGCAGUCAGUCUGCUCUUCCUUUGUGAGUAUAUUUUUAAUUACCUAUCACGGAUAUUUUUAAUAGAGAGAGCACUAUUAGUUGUCUCUUUUCUCUUUCAUUUGAACAUUGGAUACACCACUGACGGAGGGAACCACCAUAUAUCCCAUAAGCGGGGAUUAUACCGCUAUAUGCGCUUCACACCAGAGCUGGAUUUAGCUCGGUCAAAUGUGAGUUCCCUACUAUUAUUUGAAUUCAGUGAUUUUAUUUGACCUUUACAUAUUGCACUAUUGGACUUCCUUUCUUCUUUUUUUUUUUUUUUACAUAUAAGUGGAUCAUUACACCAUUGAAAGACUUUGCCCCUGCACAGUACCCCAAGACAGCAUUGAGGACAUCAAGAUUGAAUUUCUCUGCACAUUAGGGACUCCCUUUUUAAAGGUUGCUGCCUGUCUGUUAAUUAGCGCUGACUCUUCAUUUUAUUGACUGUAACGGAGUGUGUAUGACUGUCUGCUUGUAAUGGAGUAUGUGUGGCUGUCUGCUUGUGACUGUGUGUGUGACUGUCUGCCUGUGACUGUGUGACUGUCUGCCUUUAACUGUGUGUUUGGCUCUGUGACUGUCUGCCUGCAACUGAGCAUGUGUGACUGUCUGCCUGUAACUGUGUGUGUGUGUGUGUGUGACUGUCUGCCUGUAACUGAGCGUGUUUGAUUCUGCUUGUGACUGUCUGCUUGUGCCUGUGUGUGUGACUGUAUACAGGCAUCUUUGGGGGGGAGGGGGGUGCCAUGAAGACUUUUCGCACAGGGUGCUUAAUUGCCUAAGGCAGGCCCUGGGUGCAGUUGUCCUGUCCUAUUAGUAGAAAAACACCCUCAAAGCAUAAUGUUUCCACCUCCAUGUUUGACGGUGGGGAUGGUGUUCUUGGGGUCAUAGGCAGCAUUCCUCCUCCUUCAAACACGGCAAGUUGGUGCCAAAGAGCUCAAUUUUGGUCUCAUCUGACCACAACACUUUCACCCAGUUCUCCUCUGAAUCACUCAGAUGUUUAUUGGCAAACUUUAGACGGGUCUGUACAUGUGCUUUCUUAAGCAGGGGGACCACGCGGGCGCUGCAGGAUUUCAGUACUUCAUGGCGUAGUGUGUUACCAAUUGUUUUCUUGGUGACUAUGGUCCCAGCUGCCUUGAGAUCAUUAACAAGAUCCUCCUGCGUAGUGCUGGGCGGAUUCCUCACUGUUCCCAUGAUCAUUGAAACUCCAUGAGGUGAGAUGUUGCAUGGAGCACCAGACUGAAGGAGACAGUUAUUUUGUGUUUCCUCCAUUUGCGAAAUAUCUUGGCGAUGGUCUUGUAGCCCAUUCCAGCCUUGUGUAGGUCUACAAUCAUGUCCCUGACAUCCUUGGACAGCUCUUUGGUCUUGGCCAUGGUGGAGAGUUUGGAAUCUGAUUGAUUGCUUCCCGGUGUCUUUUUAUAUAGGUAACGAGCUGAGAUUAGGAGCACUCCCUUUAAGAGAGUGCUCCUAAUCUCAUCUCGUUACCUGUAUAAAAGAAACCAGGGAGCCAAAACAUCUUGCUGAUUGAUAGGGGAUCAAAUACUUAUUUCACUUAUUGACACAAAUCAAUUUAUAACUUUUUUGACAUGCGUUUUUUUCUGGAUUUGUUUGUUUGUUUUUCUGUCUCUCACUGAUAAAAUAUACUUACCAUUAAACUUAUAUCAUUACUUUGUCAGUGGGCAAACGUUCAAAAUCAGCAGUGGAUCAAAUUCUUUUAUCCAUCACUGUAUAUAUAUAUAUAAUUGACAAUAAUAAUACAGUAACUGUGGAUUAUAUGACAACUAAAACUUCUGCUUAAGGGCUACUUUAUGCCCAGGUGACUUUCCACUAGCUGUGGCAUUUAGGAAUAGAAAGUUUACAAUCCAGUAUAGUGCAUGUAAGUUACAAUUUGCAGAAAAUAAGUGACAUACAAUGCAGCUUCCUAAUGCACAAUCAUUAAUAGUGGAGGAGCACUCUAGGGUUUUGCAAAUAAAUGUCAGUCAUUUAUUGUUCACUCACAGUUCCAUCAACCUUUUAGAUCUUACAAGGUUCUUUAUCAAGCUUGAUCCAUUUAAAAUCCUACAAUCAAAGUAACAUAAUGCAUACCUGCCUCUGCUUUAGCUAUAAAGGAAAGCUAAACCUUUUUUUUCAUAGUUACCCAGCCUAGGUUUAUUGUUUUAGUCUGUAGUCACAUGGUGUAGAGGGUUGACAACUAACAGGAAACUAUGGUGUAAAAAAAUCUAUUAAAUGUUAUAUAGGCGGAAGGCAGGUGCCUCGCUGUCUGAUGAUUGAGAGCCAUGUUGGUGUUUCUGCCCUUAAUUAUAAAAGUGCAUAAUUUCUAUUGAAGGCCUUGAUUUAAUCAUGUUGAAUAAGCUUUUCAAAUUAUUUUAUAUUUUUGGAUAAACUUUUCAAAUGAAUUGUUUUUUUGAUACAUUUUCCAUUUUUAUAUUUUAAUAUUUUGCAAAAAUAUGAAACUAUUUGAAAACCUUAUCCACAAAUAUAAAGUUGAGGCCGAUAUUGGCACUUUUAUAAACUGUCACAAAUGUGACAGGCUCCAGAUACAUAAAGCACUUCAGCAAGUCUAUGUGCUUUAUGUGUGAGGAUUGUACCUUUAAGAAUAAAUUGUUUUGUGACCCUUUCUAUUAUAUCUACUGCUGGUUAUCCAUGUUGCAAAAUCUUUUGAAAUAAACCCAC
Non-coding RNA from Pelobates cultripes (western spadefoot toad), 3652 nucleotides. The record is from the annotation of a GenBank genome assembly. NCBI's taxonomy places the organism in Eukaryota, Metazoa, Chordata, Amphibia, Anura, Pelobatidae.